GUAAAGACAAAGGGGUGCCCCCAAAGAGGGGCUGAGAUUAUACCCUAGGAACCUGAGGCAGUUAGCACUGACGUAGGGAUUGUGUUUCUUUCUUAU
Molecule: regulatory RNA element, 96 nt
Organism: Bacteroides thetaiotaomicron VPI-5482
Lineage: Bacteria; Pseudomonadati; Bacteroidota; Bacteroidia; Bacteroidales; Bacteroidaceae
Rfam family: TPP riboswitch aptamer (THI element)
About the family: Vitamin B(1) in its active form thiamin pyrophosphate (TPP) is an essential coenzyme that is synthesised by coupling of pyrimidine and thiazole moieties in bacteria. The previously detected thiamin-regulatory element, thi box was extended, resulting in a new, highly conserved RNA secondary structure, the THI element, which is widely distributed in eubacteria and also occurs in some archaea.
Source: Rfam